Molecule: ribosomal RNA, 460 nt
Filed under: uncultured bacterium
Lineage: Bacteria
Description: partial 16S ribosomal RNA
Rfam family: Bacterial small subunit ribosomal RNA
Source: RNAcentral
CCUACGGGAGGCAGCAGUGAGGAAUAUUGGUCAAUGGGCGUAAGCCUGAACCAGCCAAGCCGCGUGAAGGACGAAUGCCCUAAGGAUUGUAAACUUCUUUUGUCAAGGAAUAAAGUGAGGCACGAGUGCCUUUUUGUAUGUACUUUAUGAAAAAGGAUCGGCUAACUCCGUGCCAGCAGCCGCGGUAAUACGGAGGAUGCGAGCGUUAUCCGGAUUUAUUGGGUUUAAAGGGAGCGUAGAUGGGUUGUUGAGUCAGUUGUGAAAGUUUGCGGCUCAACCCUAAAAGUGCAAUUGAUACUGGCAUUCUUGAGUACAGUUGAGGUAGGCGGAAUUCGUGGUGUAGCGGUGAAAUGCUUAGAGAUCACGAAGAACUCCGAUUGCGAAGGCAGCUUACUAAACUGCCACUGACAUUGAUGCGCGAAAGUGUGGGUAUCAAACAGGAUUAGAUACCCCUGUAGUC